AAAUUGAAGAGUUUGAUCAUGGCUCAGAUUGAACGCUGGCGGCAGGCCUAACACAUGCAAGUCGAACGGUAACAGGAAKCAGCUUGCUGMUUUGCUGACGAGUGGCGGACGGGUGAGUAAUGUCUGGGAAACUGCCUGAUGGAGGGGGAUAACUACUGGAAACGGUAGCUAAUACCGCAUAAYGUCGCAAGACCAAAGAGGGGGACCUUCGGGCCUCUUGCCAUCGGAUGUGCCCAGAUGGGAUUAGCUAGUAGGUGGGGUAAMGGCUCACCUAGGCGACGAUCCCUAGCUGGUCUGAGAGGAUGA
This 306-nucleotide ribosomal RNA is filed under the name Escherichia coli. Its description in RNAcentral is "partial 16S ribosomal RNA". It matches the Rfam family "Bacterial small subunit ribosomal RNA", at positions 1 to 303 of the family's 1533-position model. Lineage: Bacteria; Pseudomonadati; Pseudomonadota; Gammaproteobacteria; Enterobacterales; Enterobacteriaceae. The record is from RNAcentral.